Molecule: ribosomal RNA, 320 nt
Filed under: Pseudomonas aeruginosa
Lineage: Bacteria; Pseudomonadati; Pseudomonadota; Gammaproteobacteria; Pseudomonadales; Pseudomonadaceae
Description: bacterial SSU rRNA
Rfam family: Bacterial small subunit ribosomal RNA
Source: RNAcentral
UUAAGAGUUCGCCCCUGGCUCAGAUUGAACGCUGGCGGCAGCCCUAACACCUGCAAGUCGACCGGAUGAAGGGAGCUUGCUCCUGGAUUCAGCGGCGGACGGGUGAGUAAUGCCUAGGAACCUGCCUGGUAGUGGGGGAUAACGUCCGGAAACGGGCGCUAAUACCGCCUACGUCCUGAGGGAGAAAGUGGGGGAUCUUCGGACCUCACGCUAUCAGAUGAGCCUAGGUCGGAUUAGCUAGUUGGUGGGGUAAAGGCCUACCAAGGCGACGAUCCGUAACUGGUCUGAGAGGAUGAUCAGUCACACGAACUAAACCGACA